RNAcentral lists this ribosomal RNA (640 nucleotides) under uncultured bacterium. RNAcentral's name for it is "bacterial SSU rRNA". It matches the Rfam family "Bacterial small subunit ribosomal RNA", at positions 192 to 852 of the family's 1533-position model. The record is from RNAcentral.
GUCGAAAGACCAAAGAUUUAUUGCCCUGAGAUGAGCCCGCGUAGGAUUAGCUAGUUGGUGUGGUAAAGGCCCACCAAGGCGACGAUCGGUAGCCGGACUGAGAGGUUGAACGGCCACAUUGGGACUGAGACACGGCCCAGACUCCUACGGGAGGCAGCAGUGGGGGAUAUUGCACAAUGGAGGAAACUCUGAUGCAGCAACGCCGCGUGAGGGAAGAAGGUUUUCGGAUUGUAAACCUCUGUCCUUGGUGAAGAUAAUGACGGUAGCCAAGGAGGAAGCUCCGGCUAACUACGUGCCAGCAGCCGCGGUAAUACGUAGGGAGCAAGCGUUGUCCGGAUUUACUGGGUGUAAAGGGUGCGUAGGCGGCUUGUCAAGUCAGGCGUGAAAUAUAUGGGCUUAACCCAUAGACUGCGUUUGAAACUGUCGAGCUUGAGUGAAGUAGAGGUAGGCGGAAUUCCCGGUGUAGCGGUGAAAUGCGUAGAGAUCGGGAGGAACACCAGUGGCGAAGGCGGCCUACUGGGCUUUAACUGACGCUGAGGCACGAAAGCAUGGGUAGCAAACAGGAUUAGAUACCCUGGUAGUCCAUGCCGUAAACGAUGAUUACUAGGUGUGGGGGGUCUGACCCCUUCCGUGCCGGAGU